AACGAACGCUGGCGGCAUGCCUAACACAUGCAAGUCGAACGAGACCUUCGGGUCUAGUGGCGCACGGGUGCGUAACGCGUGGGAACCUGCCCUUAGGUUCGGAAUAACUCCCCGAAAGGGGUGCUAAUACCGGAUAAUGUCUUCGGACCAAAGAUUUAUCGCCUUUGGAUGGGCCCGCGUUGGAUUAGCUAGUUGGUAGGGUAAAAGCCUACCAAGGCGACGAUCCAUAGCUGGUCUGAGAGGAUGAUCAGCCACACUGGGACUGAGACACGGCCCAGACUCCUACGGGAGGCAGCAGUGGGGAAUAUUGGACAAUGGGCGAUAGCCUGAUCCAGCAAUGCCGCGUGAGUGAUGAAGGCCUUAGGGUUGUAAAGCUCUUUUACCCGGGAUGAUAAUGACAGUACCGGGAGAAUAAGCUCCGGCUAACUCCGCG
RNAcentral lists this ribosomal RNA (433 nucleotides) under uncultured bacterium. RNAcentral describes it as "partial 16S ribosomal RNA". It matches the Rfam family "Bacterial small subunit ribosomal RNA", at positions 29 to 507 of the family's 1533-position model. The record is from RNAcentral.